CUUAAGUUAUAUCACAUGUCAUUGAAUUGAAAACUGACAAUUAUGUCACCCCUGUUUUUCAAACAGUUUGGAUACAUAAAAGCUCCAGAUACAUAAUAUAUCAGACACUCAAUUGAUUGCAGACUUACCUUGCAAGAGUUUGUAUCAUUACGAAUUAGUACUAAUGUUGGUAGCAUUUUUCGUCCGGCAAAUGUUUGGACUCAAUUAAGUGAAAAACAAACAAACUUUUAAACUUUCCCCUUUUUGGCUGCUGAUUUUUUGCAUUAUUUUAAUAGAACUAAUAAAAUAAUGUUAUUGCAGAGAUUAAAUGUCAACAUAAAAUUAUUGCAGCG
This 332-nucleotide long non-coding RNA is filed under the name Mytilus galloprovincialis (Mediterranean mussel). Lineage: Eukaryota; Metazoa; Mollusca; Bivalvia; Mytilida; Mytilidae. The record is from RNAcentral.